UACGGAGGGUGCAAGCGUUAUCCGGAUUUACUGGGUUUAAAGGGUGCGUAGGUGGGCAGGUAAGUCAGUGGUGAAAUCCCCGGGCUUAACCCGGGAACUGCCAUUGAUACUAUCUGUCUUGAAUAUCCUGGAGGUGAGCGGAAUAUGUCAUGUAGCGGUGAAAUGCUUAGAUAUGACAUAGAACACCCAUUGCGAAGGCAGCUCACUACGGGAUCAUUGACACUGAGGCACGAAAGCGUGGGGAUCAAACAGG
This 253-nucleotide ribosomal RNA is filed under the name uncultured bacterium. RNAcentral's name for it is "partial 16S ribosomal RNA". It matches the Rfam family "Bacterial small subunit ribosomal RNA", at positions 524 to 776 of the family's 1533-position model. The record is from RNAcentral. RNAcentral also lists the same sequence under 1 other name.